UAGCCUACGGGGGGCAGCAGUGGGGAACCUUCCACAAUGGACGAAAGUCUGAUGGAGCAACGCCGCGUGAGUGAAGAAGGGUUUCGGCUCGUAAAGCUCUGUUGGUAGUGAAGAAAGAUAGAGGUAGUAACUGGCCUUUAUUUGACGGUAAUUACUUAGAAAGUCACGGCUAACUACGUGCCAGCAGCCGCGGUAAUACGUAGGUGGCAAGCGUUGUCCGGAUUUAUUGGGCGUAAAGCGAGUGCAGGCGGGUCAAUAAGUCUGAUGUGAAGGCCUUCGGCUCAACCGGGGAAUU
RNAcentral lists this ribosomal RNA (295 nucleotides) under uncultured bacterium. RNAcentral's name for it is "partial 16S ribosomal RNA". It matches the Rfam family "Bacterial small subunit ribosomal RNA", at positions 335 to 622 of the family's 1533-position model. The record is from RNAcentral.